UAGCGCUGGAGAGUUAUAAAAAUUAUCC
RNAcentral lists this small RNA (28 nucleotides) under Bombyx mori (domestic silkworm). RNAcentral describes it as "ovarian small RNA-22438". The record is from RNAcentral. Lineage: Eukaryota; Metazoa; Arthropoda; Insecta; Lepidoptera; Bombycidae.